This is a non-coding RNA of Triticum urartu, 2743 nucleotides long. Lineage: Eukaryota; Viridiplantae; Streptophyta; Magnoliopsida; Poales; Poaceae. The record is from RefSeq and is a predicted model, not a curated record.
CUAUGUUUGUGAGAAAUCAACCCGCGGUCUUUCUUCUAUCUUAUCCAGACGUUCCUUUCCAGCGCGGCGGGGCGGCGCCCUUCACCGCGGCGACAGCUCCAGGUGGGCUCGCGGGAGACGGCGCUGGGCUUGGGAGAUGCGGCUGCGAGGGCUCCGCAUCAGGCAGCGACAGCGAGGCGGGGAUGCGGCGCUGCGCUUCCGGGAUGCAGCGGCGAGGCGUCGAGGCAGCGCUGCGCUUCCGGGAUGCAGCGGCGAGGCGUCGAGGCAGCGCUGCGCUCGGGCGCCACAUCAGGCGGCAGCAGCGAGGCGGGAGGCGCACACGGAGAUGAAGGAGGGGAAAAUGGAGAGUCGGCCGGGGCGAGGAGUUCGCCGACGUCGAAGCCACGGACCCCGGCGCUGCAAGCUUGCAGGGGGCGGUGGCCAUGGCCGGGAGGCGGCGCUGAGUUCGGGCGCCGCAUGCCUCCUCUGUCGCUCCUUGUUUCUUUAUUCCCCAACUCCUCUCUUGCACGUCGUCAUCUUGCCGCCCACGCAGCAAAGAGAUCGAGGAAGAGGCGAGAGUCGGGUCAAUCGAUAUGUCGCACGAGGGUGCGGCACUCCCUGUUCCAUCUAGAUCAACAAACGCAGAGGGAGGUGGAAGAAGAGCCACGACCUGCGAGCAGGAGGCUGCCUCCUAGCACGCAUCUGACUGCGGCUAUUUUAUCCAUGAGCGGGAGGUUAAGAGAAGCACAUCUCUGAAAUUCACAGUUUUGAACCCAAAGAGACGCAUCUAGACAAUGGUUGCAUCAGUGGUUCCAGUGUCAUAUACGCCAACAUGGUGGCCAAUCUUAUUGAGAAGAAUGACACAACAGCAGGCAGUGGAUCAGAGCCCAAACUCUCACUUGUUAGGAUAAAGGUGGACUACUCUGUGUUCUUAACAAUACACCCCCAACGGUUUGGUCAAAAGUAUGUUGAGAAGGUUGCCAAUCCACAAGUCAUUGUUGUUUUCUGAAGAUCAGCAAAAUGGCGCCAAAAUAUGCACGACAAUGCUUGAGGUUCCGGAGAACUCUACCCAAAUGAGCUUAAUCAACACACUGUCGAAGCUCUGGUUCCGGAAAGUAACUUGAAUAUGCAGGUUCUUCCACUGGACAACCUGGACACUGCCAUUCAUGUUUUCGUCAACAAGGCAGACAAUAUGGCAUUUCACUCUUGCCUGCAGAAGAACACCGAAGAGGCAAUAGUAGAACGAGUUGACCAUCACCAAGGUAGAUACUGCCGUCGAAGAUGAAGAUGCAAUGAUGUCAUUGUGACAGGUGAAGAAAAAGUAUGUCUUAUGUUUACUUGAUUCCGUAGAUUAAUAUCUCUUUUGGUUGGCAAGAAUGACCUGGACACUGCCCUUCAUGUUUUCGUCAACAAGGCAGACAAUAUGGCAUUUCACUCUUGCCUGAAGAAGAACACCGAAGAGGCAAUAGUAGGCAAAACUACCAAUAUAUUAGACUCCACUCUACCGAUUGAGAACUGAAAAGAAAUUUCUCCACCUGAAUUCGAAGAACAAGUUGACCAUCACCAAGGUAGAUACUGCUGUCGAAGAUGAAGAUGCAAUGGUGUCAUUGUGACAGGUGAAGCAAAAGUAUGUCUUAUGUUUACUUGAUUCCGUAGAUUAAUAUCUCUUUUGGUUGGCAAGAAUGGAUCAGACCUAUUUUUGUUUGAAGUUAAGAUUUUUCUUCCUGAGGUAGCGAAAAUCUUUUGUCGGACUACCUCCCCCCCCCCCCCCCCCCCCCCCCCCCCCCCCCCCCACACCCCUGCGUUGCAAACAAAUUGAUAUCGAAUAGUGGGAUUGAAUUACUGUAAAUAUUCAUAACUCUAGAACGGAAAAUUGUACACAGUAUCGCCUUCAAUAAUACAUAAUAAUGAUUGUUGAUGCCACCAACCCCAACUGUAUUGUGAUAAUGAUAUUGAACUGUUUUAAUUUGGUUGUGUACUCAAAUCUGAAAGCAUUCUAUUUUAUUUAGGUCCUGUACAUAUGUACCUGUAGCAUAGCUAUUUGAGAUAUGCCACUACAGUAUUAUUAGUCCUUUCAUGUCUCUGAAAUGGGGCUUUACAUUCUGUGUGUUCUUAUUGUACAUCAACAAUAAGAGCAGAGGAAGGCAACUGAUGCAUCUGAGUUCUCUUCUUAUUUCAAAGAAAGGCAUCAACUUGAUGCAUCUGAUUUCUUGGAACUAAAGCAUAAUACAAUGAAAGGCGACAAUACGAUACAGUCGAUACUUGCUUGACCCAUGUGAAGUUGAAAGUGUUUCCUUAAAUCCCAUGUUUGUUGAUCUAAUAAUAUUCACACGUAAUUUGUUUCUGAACAGAAAGAUUGACUAGGUGAGUAUUAUGUAUUGAGGUAGGGAAAAUUGUGGUCGUGCAGCCCUAUAGGUACACUGUAGGAUGCGAAACUUAUUGAUGUAUUUUUGUGCUAAUUUUUUGCAUCAAUGAUUGAUUUUUCUAUCAAUUGUAAAGAAAUCCUCACCUUGAAGAAUGAAGCCAAUGGUGAACAAGGAUGUUCUUUCUACCAAAGAACCAGGCCAUGCCGAGGUAGUGGUGUGGUUCGGAUGAUGGUGGUGAGGCUAAAAUAUGGGAGAUGACUUGGAGUUAUUUUAAGCAUGAGUUUUGUACUGGUGUGGUUCCUUAAGUCACCCCUUUCAGGUCAAACCCCUCUAUGUUAUCGAUCACCUUUUUCAUUUUGUGUUCAGUGAUGUGGAAUUUAGUACACUAUUUUUUGCCA